Molecule: ribosomal RNA, 253 nt
Filed under: uncultured bacterium
Lineage: Bacteria
Description: partial 16S ribosomal RNA
Rfam family: Bacterial small subunit ribosomal RNA
Source: RNAcentral
UACGUAGGUGACAAGCGUUGUCCGGAUUUACUGGGCGUAAAGAGCGCGCAGGCGGUCGAUCAAGUCGAGUGUGAAAGCCCCCGGCUCAACUGGGGAGGGUCAUUCGAUACUGAUCGACUCGAAGGCAGGAGAGGGUGGUGGAAUUGCCGGUGUAGUGGUGAAAUGCGUAGAGAUCGGCAGGAACACCAAGGGGGAAGCCAGCCACCUGGGCAUGGACUGACACUCAAGUGCGAAAGCGUGGGGAGCGAACUGG